UUUGAGCUAAGCUCUGUUUCUAAGUGGGAACCAAUUUUAGUUUUUGUGUUAGCGGUUCCUUUUUGAGAGUGACACAAGGGCGAGAGUGUCUGAUUUUGAGCCACCGGGUGGCGACGUUUUUCCGUUUGAACAAGCAAGUGGUGAAGAACGCAAGAAAUGCUUAUUUUGUGUCCUUUCUGAUAGCAUUUUUGUUUAUUGUUGAAACCGGAGUUUGAAGACCUGUAUUGUCAGGAUUUACGUUUUUCUUCGUUUUCUCCCUCGAGCAAAUGCGGCAAUGAGUUCUCACGGCAUGUGUGUGGAGAAGUUGAAUAAAUGCCCGUUUUGAAGAA
Long non-coding RNA from Syngnathus typhle (broad-nosed pipefish), 329 nucleotides. RefSeq lists it as uncharacterized. The transcript is spliced from 2 exons. The record is from RefSeq and is a predicted model, not a curated record. Lineage: Eukaryota; Metazoa; Chordata; Actinopteri; Syngnathiformes; Syngnathidae.